This 253-nucleotide ribosomal RNA is filed under the name uncultured bacterium. Its description in RNAcentral is "partial 16S ribosomal RNA". It matches the Rfam family "Bacterial small subunit ribosomal RNA", at positions 524 to 776 of the family's 1533-position model. The record is from RNAcentral.
UACGUAGGUGGCAAGCGUUGUCCGGAUUUACUGGGCGUAAAGAGCGCGCAGGCGGCCGGGCAAGUCGAGUGUGAAAGCCCCGAGCUUAACUUGGGAACUGCGCUCGAAACUACUUGGCUAGAGUGUGGCAGAGGGAGGUGGAAUUCCACGUGUAGCGGCGAAAUGCGUAGAGAUGUGGAGGAACACCGAUGGCGAAGGCAGCCUCCUGGGCCAACACUGACGCUCAUGCACGAAAGCGUGGGGAGCAAACAGG